Molecule: ribosomal RNA, 480 nt
Filed under: uncultured bacterium
Lineage: Bacteria
Description: partial 16S ribosomal RNA
Rfam family: Bacterial small subunit ribosomal RNA
Source: RNAcentral
GAUGAACGCUGGCGGCGUGCUUAACACAUGCAAGUCGAACGAAACACCUUAUUUGAUUUUCUUCGGAACUGAAGAUUUGGUGAUUGAGUGGCGGACGGGUGAGUAACGCGUGGGUAACCUGCCCUGUACAGGGGGAUAACAGUCAGAAAUGACUGCUAAUACCGCAUAAGACCACAGCACCGCAUGGUGCAGGGGUAAAAACUCCGGUGGUACAGGAUGGACCCGCGUCUGAUUAGCUGGUUGGUGAGGUAACGGCUCACCAAGGCGACGAUCAGUAGCCGGUUGGGGGGAGGGAACGGCCACAUUGGGACUGGGACACGGCCCAAACCCCUAGGGGGGGCAGGAGGGGGGAAUAUUGCAAAAGGGGGGAAACCCUGAUGCAGCGGCGCCGGGUGAGUGAAGAAGUAUUUCGGUAUGAAAAGCUCUAACAGCAGGGAAGAAAAGGACGGUACCGGACAAAGAAGCCCCGGCUAACUACGU